This 535-nucleotide long non-coding RNA is filed under the name Gossypium raimondii (Peruvian cotton). RNAcentral's name for it is "long non-coding RNA (GRAI_LNC002294)". The record is from RNAcentral. Lineage: Eukaryota; Viridiplantae; Streptophyta; Magnoliopsida; Malvales; Malvaceae.
AGGAAAUGUUUUACUAUGUUUUUUUUAAUAAUCUCAUUAUAGAUUCUGAUCAUGUUUACUUUUUUUGACAUGAUGCCUAGAACUACCCAUAGCCCCUCCCCUAUAAAUAGGAGGAUUAUACGUUUCGACACACUUAAACUCACAUAUCAUAUAUUGGCAACAACGCCCAUGCCUAUCAAGCUAAGACUAUUGUAGAGGUCCAAUUUCGUCCGGCCCAACAAAACUGAACAAACCAAAAGACCAAAAAAACAAAUAAACAAAAAUAAAAACAAGCCCAUUUAUUAAAAGUCCAGUCCAUUUACAAACCCAAAUACUACCCAAAUACAAAACCUAAAUACCCAAUUACCUAAGCCUAAGCCCAAGCCCAAAUCCCCUAAACCUAAAACAGAAAACCCUAAUUCCUCUAAGCUUCUAGCCGUCGCCGCUCCUCUGCCUUUGCCAUGCCAACAGGCACGUCGCUCAAGGUCUACCUUCCUUUCACCUAAAUGGCAAGGCGUGGCUCCCCAGUGCCUUUGACCUUGCCACGAAUACCUAC